AGACGAGUAGCACAUCCCUGUCCACAUAUUGCUUCUAGUGUUAGCAGCUCUGGCUUUGCUUCUAGUUCCUUUGUCGCGGUUGAGGUUCAAGUGGAGGAUAUUACUCAGGGACGAGGUUUAGCCAAACAGAGCUAUUCAGGUGCAAGAGGUUCAAGGGUGGACAAGAGCGAGGUUCUCGCCUAGAUAGUUAUAUUAUUGUUAUAUUUCGGAUGUUUAGGUUUAUGCUUAAACUCAUUUUGUAAUGUAACCCGGUAUGGGACGGGUUAGUGUUGAGCUAUUAAUUUUAAUUGAAUUUGUAAGACUUCCGCUGUAAUAGGGCUUUAUUAGCCACUAUAUUUU
Cynara cardunculus var. scolymus (artichoke) is the source of this 339-nucleotide long non-coding RNA. RefSeq lists it as uncharacterized. NCBI's taxonomy places the organism in Eukaryota, Viridiplantae, Streptophyta, Magnoliopsida, Asterales, Asteraceae. The record is from RefSeq and is a predicted model, not a curated record. The transcript is spliced from 3 exons.